GAACUCCAAGGAAAAUUCAAAACGAAAAGUUCAACUGUUAUAUUCCUGACUUGGUACAGGUCUUUCCUGAUGUAGAAAAUGGUGGAUUACACUUAGUGUUAAAGCUUGCUAAACCUCUCAUUUUUAUGACAGCCGCAUACUAUUCCAAUAUGUUGACAACAAUGUGUUAAUGUGCAAAUGUGACAACUCUUCCCGCCAAAUCAUGACCUUACGGCC
Molecule: long non-coding RNA, 216 nt
Filed under: Mytilus galloprovincialis (Mediterranean mussel)
Lineage: Eukaryota; Metazoa; Mollusca; Bivalvia; Mytilida; Mytilidae
Source: RNAcentral